CCCCGGAAACAGUGUGUCAGUGUGUUAUCUGCUAAAAAGUAUCAGGAAAAAUGGAAGCCGAGAAGUUUACUGUGGCUAGGGAGAUUUGGAGUAUGCAUAUUUUAUUUCCAUUUUGUCUUACAAAGCACCUUUAUUUGUACUAUUUUUUGCUAUUAUCAGAUAUAUGUGUAUCUCCAGUUUCCAUGAGGACUCAGUUUGGAAAGGGGAAUCCAACACAGCGUUCUUUGCCCUCCUUAACUUGAAAGACCUGGAGUCUGGACUGUGCACUGUGCUAUGUGGAUACCUGCUGCUUCUUCAAAGAAUGGUACCAGUAGGUCAUAAUGCAGCUUCACUGGGGCCUGCUGUUUUGUCUGGACAAUUACACUGACAUUUCAUUUACUUCAGUAUCCUGACUUUCAUUCCUGAACAUUCUGACUGCCAUGCAAAAGCAAGGGGAUUAUAAGAGGUAUUGUGUAACUAGUUUCCUCCUGUUGGAAAACAUCUGUGAUACAUGUUGUCCAAACUCUACGUUUGGGCUGAAAAAACAGUCUGUUUACCCUGCAUGUAAGGUAUCUACAACAAAAAUUAAAUGUUGUCUAUCUUGGGCUUGCAGUUACUAGGAACACUUACUUCUUACUUGAGCAGAAAUGUUUUUAUGGUUGAAUAAUGAAUAAACACAUCAAGUUCAACAAGCGUCUCUAGUAGACUUUAAUAAAAGAGUGUAAGAAAAAACAAAAGCAUCUGUAGAAAUACAAUAGCAAGAUUUAAAAAUGUCUUACAUAUACAUGUUGGAAGAAGAGGGAAAGCCAAAGUUUAGCUAAACAAAACUGCCAGCUAGUAAAAAGUCUCAUUGAAGAGUUUCACAGUACUGUAGCAUGUGUAGACAUUUCAAUUAGUUAUCAAGCAAGUUCAGUUACAAAAAGAAGAAACCCUAAAAUUCAGGCAAGGUGGUUUUAAUCUCUGUUACAUAAGAUGUUAUUUGCCUUCAGGAAUUCACAUGAAAAGGCAGUUUAUUUUUAAUAUACAGGACUAAAAACCAUACAGCAGCACAGUUUUGUAGUUAAAACUAAAGAAAAGAACAAAGUAUGGUUAUUUAAACUUUCCCAAAAUAAGAAUUCAGACUAUGUUGAUUUGUUUGAAAAAGUGAAACAUCAUAUAUAUUUGUAUUAGCACAGAUGGAGAUUAAAAUUAUUUUACGAAAUAACUUUGGUCACCUUGGCAGUGAAUACCAACACAGGAAAAAACCCUGUAACUCCCACACACCCAAAGUACAAGGAAGAGAAUAUUUUCACAAUGCAGCCCCUUCUCUGGCAGUUUCACAUCAGCAUGGUGUCUGUGUUUUAGGCAUUCCUAUACUUCAAAUAUCACAAUGAGCACAGACAUGAAUACAGGGAGCAAGUUACAAUUUUCAAGUCUAUCCCUCAAGACACAGUGAAAUCUAGAAUGUAAGCCCAGUUAGAAAUUAGAAAAGCCCCUAUAUCUUUCAUUUCACUAUUUUCAAGUGAAGGGUGAAACAUUCUUUUGCAGUCAGACCCUGAAACAGAUCUUUUGAACUACCAUGUGAGCUUCCCCCACCCACAGAAUAAACUAUUGACUGGAGGCAAGAACAAGGAGGACAUGGAAGUGGUAACACACAUUGACAAGGGACUGAGAUACAGGAGAGAAAAGAGGAUAGAACAGCAAUGAAAGAAUGUUCUUCAGAUCUUUUUAUGAACUUCUAUUUACUAAAACAUUCCUUAAAGGGUUUCAGAAUUACCACCAUACUUGUAAUUGGUAAUUGACUCUGUACUAGGAAAGUAAUUAGACCUCCUUGAGAUUAUUGCACAAAAACCUGGCAGCAGUUUGAAAAUGCACAUCUAGAUCAGUUUCUAAAACUGACUUACAUAAUGUUUCUAAAGUACAAUAUAUAUAUAUUAUUAGAGAAUAAAAACUAAAUACAAUUGCUUAAUUUUAAAUCAAGUCCAGCACAAAAAUAUUUUAAUAUGGCAAACACCCCAGGACUUGCUGUAUGCAUCCAUAAUGUAGCUAUUUAAUCAUGAGUGUGAUCAUAUUUCCACCCCUCCCCCAAAAUGUAUAAUCUUGACAAGAAACUCAAAAUAUAAAAUAUAACAUCAAACAUUUUCUUUUAAUAUAUAUUCCCAAUUUUGUAUUUAAUGCUUAAUCUAUAAAUAUGAUCUCCAACAUAAGCAUGAUUUAUGUGGUUUUGUGUUGCUUUUAUAUUGAAAUAUCUUAUAUUAAUAAGUCCAAAGCAGUUCAUUUUUUAGUUAUAUUUCUAGUGAAAAAAAUAUUCUAUUUCUUAAGUAUCAAAACUGGAAUUUGUU
Molecule: non-coding RNA, 2300 nt
Organism: Taeniopygia guttata (zebra finch)
Lineage: Eukaryota; Metazoa; Chordata; Aves; Passeriformes; Estrildidae
Source: RefSeq, a predicted model, not a curated record